Molecule: ribosomal RNA, 456 nt
Filed under: uncultured bacterium
Lineage: Bacteria
Description: bacterial SSU rRNA
Rfam family: Bacterial small subunit ribosomal RNA
Source: RNAcentral
UGGCUCAGAACGAACGCUGGCGGCAGGCCUAACACAUGCAAGUCGAGCGCACCUUCGGGUGAGCGGCGGACGGGUGAGUAACGCGUGGGAAUAUGCCCAGAUCUACGGAAUAGCCUCGGGAAACUGAGAGUAAUACCGUAUACGCCCUUCGGGGAAAGGAUUUAUCGGAUUUGGAUUAGCCCGCGUUAGAUUAGGUAGUUGGUGGGGUAAUGGCCUACCAAGCCUACGAUCUAUAGCUGGUUUGAGAGGAUGAUCAGCCACACUGGGACUGAGACACGGCCCAGACUCCUACGGGAGGCAGCAGUGGGGAAUCUUAGACAAUGGGGGAAACCCUGAUCUAGCCAUGCCGCGUGAGUGACGAAGGCCCUAGGGUCGUAAAGCUCUUUCAGCUGUGAAGAUAAUGACGGUAGCAGCAGAAGAAACCCCGGCUAACUCCGUGCCAGCAGCCGCGGUAAU